GUUUGGACCAACCGCCAUUGAAACUUUUUUCUAAAAGUCGGCGGCGAUGUGAAUUCUAAAAGUGAAAAGUUCAUUCGCCGAAAACAAAACAAUAUUAGGAUCAAAAUGCAUGACCAAGGUAUACACCAAUGAAUUCGGAGAUUCAACUGCGAAUAACAAAAAAAGCUUUCAAAGGAACAUGCAGCCCCGUCGAAACAUGCGAAGAGUAACUGAUAUGGGCAAAGCGUCUCAUCAUACAAAAAUCGUUUGAAAGUGAUUUUUCUGAAAUUUAGACAUCAC
Armigeres subalbatus is the source of this 279-nucleotide long non-coding RNA. RefSeq lists it as uncharacterized. NCBI's taxonomy places the organism in Eukaryota, Metazoa, Arthropoda, Insecta, Diptera, Culicidae. The record is from RefSeq and is a predicted model, not a curated record. The transcript has 3 exons.